This 45-nucleotide non-coding RNA is filed under the name Schistosoma mattheei. The record is from RNAcentral. Lineage: Eukaryota; Metazoa; Platyhelminthes; Trematoda; Strigeidida; Schistosomatidae.
AUCCAGCUGACAAGUUCCAAAUAGAACGAAACGCGUAUACUGGAU